CGGGACGGGUGAGUAAUGUCUGGGAAACUGCCUGAUGGAGGGGGAUAACUACUGGAAACGGUAGCUAAUACCGCAUAACGUCGCAAGACCAAAGAGGGGGACCUUCGGGCCUCUUGCCAUCGGAUGUGCCCAGAUGGGAUUAGCUAGUAGGUGGGGUAACGGCUCACCUAGGCGACGAUCCCUAGCUGGUCUGAGAGGAUGACCAGCCACACUGGAAUUGAGACACGGUCCAG
Molecule: ribosomal RNA, 233 nt
Filed under: uncultured bacterium
Lineage: Bacteria
Description: partial 16S ribosomal RNA
Rfam family: Bacterial small subunit ribosomal RNA
Source: RNAcentral